This 267-nucleotide ribosomal RNA is filed under the name Pseudomonas aeruginosa. Its description in RNAcentral is "partial 16S ribosomal RNA". It matches the Rfam family "Bacterial small subunit ribosomal RNA", at positions 1069 to 1336 of the family's 1533-position model. Lineage: Bacteria; Pseudomonadati; Pseudomonadota; Gammaproteobacteria; Pseudomonadales; Pseudomonadaceae. The record is from RNAcentral.
GAGAUGUUGGGUUAAGUCCCGCAACGAGCGCAACCCUUAUUCUUAGUUGCCAUCAUUUAGUUGGGCACUCCUAGGGAGACUGCCGGGGAUAACCCGGAGGAAGGUGGGGAUGACGUCAAAUCAUCAUGCCCCUUAUGACCUGGGCUACACACGUGCUACAAUGGACGGUACAAAGAGCUGCGAGCCCGCGAGGGUAAGCCAAUCUCAUAAAACCGUUCUCAGUUCGGAUUGUAGUCUGCAACUCGACUACAUGAAGCCGGAAUCGCU